GAAAGGAAGAUUAAUACAAGAUGGCAUCAUGAGUCCGCAUGUUCACAUGAUUAAAGGUAUUCCGGUAGACGAUGGGGAUGCGUUCCAUUAGAUAGUAGGCGGGGUAACGGCCCACCUAGUCUUCGAUGGAUAGGGGUUCUGAGAGGAAGGUCCCCCACAUUGGAACUGAGACACGGUCCAAACUCCUACGGGGGGCAGCAGUGAGGAAUAUUGGUCAAUGGGCGAGAGCCUGAACCAGCCAAGUAGCGUGAAGGAUGACUGCCCUAUGGGUUGUAAACUUCUUUUAUAAAGGAAUAAAGUCGGGUAUGGAUACCCGUUUGCAUGUACUUUAUGAAUAAGGAUCGGCUAACUCCGUGCCAGCAGCCGCGGUAAUACGGAGGAUCCGAGCGUUAUCCGGAUUUAUUGGGUUUAAAGGGAGCGUAGAUGGAUGUUUAAGUCAGUUGUGAAAGUUUGCGGCUCAACCGUAAAAUUGCAGUUGAUACUGGAUAUCUUGAGUGCAGUUGAGGCAGGCGGAAUUCGUGGUGUAGCGGUGAAAUGCUUAGAUAUCACGAAGAACUCCGAUUGCGAAGGCAGCCUGCUAAGCUGCAACUGACAUUGAGGCUCGAAAGUGUGGGUAUCAAACAGGAUUAGAUACCCUGGUAGUCCACACGGUAAACGAUGGAUACUCGCUGUUUGCGAUAUACUGCAAGCGGC
Molecule: ribosomal RNA, 693 nt
Filed under: uncultured bacterium
Lineage: Bacteria
Description: bacterial SSU rRNA
Rfam family: Bacterial small subunit ribosomal RNA
Source: RNAcentral